Molecule: ribosomal RNA, 683 nt
Filed under: uncultured bacterium
Lineage: Bacteria
Description: bacterial SSU rRNA
Rfam family: Bacterial small subunit ribosomal RNA
Source: RNAcentral
CGAGACGGAUUAUAGCUUGCUAUAAUUGUCAGCUAAGUGGCGCACGGGUGAGUAAUGUAUAGGUAAUAUGCCUCUUACUAAGGGAUAACAAAUGGAAACGUUUGCUAAUACCUUAUACUCCUUAUUAACAGAAGUUAAUAAGGGAAAGAUUUAUUGGUAAGAGAUUAGCCUGUAUUGUAUCAGUUAGUUGGUGGGGUAAUGGCUUACCAAGACUAUGACACAUAACUGGUUUGAGAGGAUGAUCAGUCACACUGGAACUGAGACACGGUCCAGACUCCUACGGGAGGCAGCAGUGGGGAAUAUUGCACAAUGGACGAAAGUCUGAUGCAGCAACGCCGCGUGGAGGAUGACACAUUUCGGUGCGUAAACUCCUUUUAUAUGAGAAGAUAAUGACGGUAUUAUAUGAAUAAGCACCGGCUAACUCCGUGCCAGCAGCCGCGGUAAUACGGGGGGUGCAAGCGUUACUCGGAAUCACUGGGCGUAAAGAGCAUGUAGGCGGAUUGAUAAGUUUGAAGUGAAAUCCUAUAGCUUAACUAUAGAACUGCUUUGAAAACUGUUAAUCUAGAAUGUGGGAGAGGUAGAUGGAAUUUCUGGUGUAGGGGUAAAAUCCGUAGAGAUCAGAAGGAAUACCGAUUGCGAAGGCGAUCUACUGGAACAUUAUUGACGCUGAGAUGCGAAAGCGU